UCGCAACGCUGCGACGUUGUCACGGGUC
This 28-nucleotide small RNA is filed under the name Bombyx mori (domestic silkworm). Its description in RNAcentral is "ovarian small RNA-2083". Lineage: Eukaryota; Metazoa; Arthropoda; Insecta; Lepidoptera; Bombycidae. The record is from RNAcentral.